This 3224-nucleotide long non-coding RNA is filed under the name Mus musculus (house mouse). RNAcentral's name for it is "long non-coding RNA chr2:158700954-158704178". The record is from RNAcentral. Lineage: Eukaryota; Metazoa; Chordata; Mammalia; Rodentia; Muridae.
UUUUUUUUUUUUUUUUGCAUAUCAUAAGAUGCACUGCCCAUUUUUAACUAUUCAGUUUAGGGGUUUUCCACAACACCCCAGAGCUCUGCACCCAGCUACUUUUAGAACUUAUUCAUCACCGCCUGCUCCUGUGCAGUCAUGCCCAGGUCCUGCUCCCAGUCCCAGGCAACCACGAAUCAUGCAGUGUAGGAUCCAGUUUUAAGCUUGGCCAGGUUGUAGUGCACGUGGGCGCUUGCUCCUUUGUUUCAACCUUAUAGUGCUCCACUGUAUGGGUAUACCACAGUCAAUUUCCACUCACCGACACCUGAGCAUGUGGGUCCUCGCCGUUUUGGGUUGAUGAUCCAAUGCUGCUAAGAACAUGGUGUUCGAGUCUUUACGUGGACAUCAUCAUUAUCCAUCAUUUUUGGGUGGAUCAUUUUGUGUGGAAAAGAGCUGCUGGGUCACAUGGCUCAUGUCCUCGAUGUAACUUGCUAAGAAACAGAUGAAUGGUUUUCUAUGGGUUUUAGAGUAGGCAAGACCACCACGGCUGGGAAUAAGAGGUCUAGCUACCCCAAAAGCCAAGAGCCUAUGGCCAGCAGAAAUACCAAUAUCCAUAGACCCAAAGGAGCACAAAUUACAACCACAGAUGAGCUGUUGUUUUACAGGAAAAAGCGAAAGCGAGAGGUACCGAUGAGCUGGGGGGGGGGGGGUUGGAGACGCAGUUGAGUCCUGGGUCUGAUUUGUAAGCCCCACAGAACCCUGCAGAUGACUCAGCCUCUCUAAGCUUCCAAAUCUGCCCUGCAAAUGGGCUUGCGGAGGAUAACAGUACUGCCUCUGCUUUAGAAAACCUACCAGGUUGUAGCUUAUGUGUGUGCUUACGUUUUGGCUUCAGCCUUGUGGUACCUCACUGGACGGGCGCGGCUCAAGUGUUUUCCACUCACCAAGGCAGGGGAAGCCUACUUAGGUGAAACAUGCAGAAAUUAAACAUGUAAAGCGAUUCUAAAGCUCUGUUCUGAUGCUGGCAAAAUGGCUCGGAGGGUGAAGGCACUCGCCACUAAGCCUAUGGCCUGAGUUUGGUCUUCAGAACCCACGUGGUGGAAGGAAAGAACCAGCUCCCAUAGGUUGACCUCCAUGUGUGUGCCAUGGCACAGAACACACACACACACACACACACACACACACACACACACACACAGAGCGUAACAACAACAAUAAUAAAAAGACUGUCUGCCAUAAGUUAGCGUGAGGUGCAGGACCCUCAUCUGCUCAGCCCUGGCUAAUCUGAAGGAAAUGGUUCUGACUUUCAUUUUUGAUGAUGUUUGAACAGGAAAUUCUCCUUUCCUCUCAUUCUAAAAAUAAUGCGUCCUUGUAGAAUAUUCCAAAAACCAUAGGAAAGGGAAGCACUAAGAAGAUAAGGCUCACAUAUACAAUGACUACCAACAGCCUCGGGUAAUAUUUUCAUCUUUAUCUAGGAAGUACCCCGUGCUUUCCCAUGGGGUGUAUGAAGGAAAGUUUAAGUAAGGGGUGGAAUGUGGAGGGCUUGUUUACUUAACCGCUGAGAACCCUGAGAGCUUCUGUUUAGCAAGGGUCUGUCAUGAGUAUCUACCGCAUUAUAGGUUAGGCACACACCUGUAGUCCUAGGGUACAGAGUCUGGGACUGAAGGAUUGUGAGUUCGAAGUCAGCCUGGGCUAUAUAUUGAGACCCUGUCUCAAAAAUAGGCGGAUGGGCAGGAAGAGAGGGUUCAGCAGUUAAGAGUACCGACUGUUCUCAAAGAGGACCUGAGUUGAGUUUUUAGCCCCCAUGUCAGGUGGCUCACAACUCCAGGGAACCCAAUACCUCCUUCUGGGACUCUUUGAACACCUGCAUUUGCACGCACAUACCCUCACAGACUCACAUACGUAAUUAAAAACUUAAAAAUUAAAUGAAGAAAUUAAAAUAUCCGGGUACAUUUUCUUUGGUCAUUAGGUCAGAGUUGUACCCUGUUGGUUUUUAUGUUUCUUCUGCACAGUGGAGCUCAUCAACUGGCUAAAACAGAUGUUUCUGUCUUCCGUGGGAAGGCAGGGCCAGCUUUGCUGGGCUGCUCUAGCUGGGAUCUCUGUUAGGAUGUGGCCACUCUGAGGUUCCCAUGAGGCUGGAGGAUCAAUGCCAAAUGCUCUUGAGUAAUGUGGUCAGAUACUGUGUCCUGUCUUAAUAGGGUCUUUGAAAUCAGAUUUUUAAUAGAUUGACAUCUCUUCUAAUGUUCAAUGUAAUGAGAUUUACAGGCCAAGCCCUGCCCAGCUUCUCUCAGUUACAGAUUUGGGGUUUGCCUUUUGCACACACACAAUGUAUUUUGAUCACAUCCUCCAGCAUAUAGAUUUUUAAUGCCGACCUCUGAAUGGGAGUCUGAGUGUACCAUCAUCUGUGCAGUCUCUCUUGUUACUGCACUCUGAGCUGUCCCCAGGUUAUUUUCCUAAUGUAAACCUUGCAUUCUAUCAAUGUAUGGAAGGAAGCCUUUGGCCACAGCUUGGAUUAUUAAUUAGGGUGGAUUCUUAGAGAUUUGUUGGAUGUGAGUAUAUAAAAGCCUGUGAAGUUUCCAGUAGUGUCUCUAGUAAGGUUUCACUGCCAUGUUCUGCCAGGCCUGCUUUGCCCUUGCUUUGCAAAUUCUCACUGGAUUGCCACCAGAUACAUUGGUGGUGUGAAUAAGAAUGGUUCCUAUAGACGCAUAUAUCUGAAUGCUUGGUCCCCAUUUGGUGGAACUGUUUGGGAGGGAUUAGAAGUUGUGUUCUUGGUAUAUAUGUGUGUGUGCAUACAUGUGUAGAUGUGUGUGUGUGUAUGUGUGUGUGUGUGUUGGGAGGUAUUAGUAAGUGCAGGCUUUGAGGUUUCCAAAGCCUAUAAUAAUAUAAAGCCUCUCCCUGCCUGUGCUUGUCGAUCACUGUGUGAGUUCUCAGUGACUGCUUCCAGCUGCCACACUCCCUGUCACAAUGGUCAUGGACUCUCACUCUCCGAAACUGUAUUCCUCAAUAAACCAUGUCUUCUAUAAGUUGUCUUGGCGAUGGUGUCUCUUCAUAGCAAUAGAAAAGUAAGACACGCUGGGCGUGGUGGCGCACGCCUUUAAUCCCAGCACUCGGGAGGCAGAGGCAGGCGGAUUUCUGAGUUUGAGGCCAGCCUGGUCUACAAGAGUUCCAGGACAGCAAGAAGAAGAAGAAGAAGAAGGAGGAGGAGGAAGGAGGAGGAAGGAGGAAGGAGGAAGGAGGAAGGAGGAAGG